Molecule: ribosomal RNA, 504 nt
Filed under: uncultured bacterium
Lineage: Bacteria
Description: partial 16S ribosomal RNA
Rfam family: Bacterial small subunit ribosomal RNA
Source: RNAcentral
ACGAACGCUGGCGGCGUGUCUAAUACAUGCAAGUAGAACGCACAGUUUAUACCGUAGCUUGCUACACCAUAGACUGUGAGUUGCGAACGGGUGAGUAACGCGUAGGUAACCUGCCUGGUAGCGGGGGAUAACUAUUGGAAACGAUAGCUAAUACCGCAUAAUAUUAAUUAUUGCAUGAUAAUUAAUUGAAAGGUGCAAUUGCACCACUACCAGAUGGACCUGCGUUGUAUUAGCUAGUAGGUGAGGUAACGGCUCACCUAGGCGACGAUACAUAGCCGACCUGAGAGGGUGAUCGGCCACACUGGGACUGAGACACGGCCCAGACUCCUACGGGAGGCAGCAGUAGGGAAUCUUCGGCAAUGGACGAAAGUCUGACCGAGCAACGCCGCGUGAGUGAAGAAGGUUUUCGGAUCGUAAAGCUCUGUUGUAAGAGAAGAACGGGUGUGAGAGUGGAAAGUUCACACUGUGACGGUAUCUUACCAGAAAGGGACGGCUAACUACGUG